GGAAAGAUGAAAAGAACUUUGAAAAGAGAGUUAAACAGUACGUGAAAUUGUUGAAAGGGAAACGAUUGAAGUCAGUCGUGCUGGCGCGAAAUCAACCCUCUCGUCUCGAGAACACGUGGCGCGACGAGCCUCAAAACCGUCACCCGCGUGAUGUCUUGACGAUGGGGAGCACUUUCGUGUCCGCUGGUUAACAUCAUUUUCGAACGUCAUAAAAAGGCUGGAGGGAUGUGGCUCCUUCGGGAGUGUUAUAACCUUUGGCGGAAUGUGGCGAUCGGGAUUGAGGAUUGCAACGAAUACCCUCGGGGCUGUUCCACCUGGCCUCUCAUUGGUAUCCUGGUGACGACAGCUUGCUGACGUCGUCAGGAGGAUCCUUGACAGGCUAGAGUGUGAGCAAAUUCGUUAAGGAUGUUAACGUAAUGGCUUUAAACGACCCGUCUUGAAACACGGACCA
This 451-nucleotide ribosomal RNA is filed under the name Entrophospora etunicata. RNAcentral's name for it is "LSU rRNA". It matches the Rfam family "Eukaryotic large subunit ribosomal RNA", at positions 358 to 668 of the family's 3401-position model. Lineage: Eukaryota; Fungi; Glomeromycota; Glomeromycetes; Entrophosporales; Entrophosporaceae. The record is from RNAcentral.